GAUCAUGGCUCAGAUUGAACGCUGGCGGCAUGCUUUACACAUGCAAGUCGAACGGCAGCAUGAGGAGCUUGCUCCUUGAUGGCGAGUGGCGCACGGGUGAGUAAGACAUCGGAACGUGUCCUUUUGUGGGGGAUAACUGUCCGAAAGGACAGCUAAUACCGCAUAAGACCCGAGGGUGAAAGCGGGGGAUCGCAAGACCUCGCGACGAAAGGAGCGGCCGAUGGCCGAUUAG
RNAcentral lists this ribosomal RNA (232 nucleotides) under uncultured bacterium. RNAcentral's name for it is "partial 16S ribosomal RNA". It matches the Rfam family "Bacterial small subunit ribosomal RNA", at positions 15 to 244 of the family's 1533-position model. The record is from RNAcentral.